Molecule: ribosomal RNA, 741 nt
Filed under: Limnobacter thiooxidans
Lineage: Bacteria; Pseudomonadati; Pseudomonadota; Betaproteobacteria; Burkholderiales; Burkholderiaceae
Description: bacterial SSU rRNA
Rfam family: Bacterial small subunit ribosomal RNA
Source: RNAcentral
AUGGGGGAUAGCUCGGCGAAAGCCGGAUUAAUACCGCAUACGCCCUGAGGGGGAAAGUGGGGGACCGCAAGGCCUCACGUUAUUGGAGCGGCCGAUGGCUGAUUAGCUAGUUGGUAGGGUAAAGGCCUACCAAGGCGACGAUCAGUAGCUGGUCUGAGAGGACGAUCAGCCACACUGGGACUGAGACACGGCCCAGACUCCUACGGGAGGCAGCAGUGGGGAAUUUUGGACAAUGGGGGAAACCCUGAUCCAGCAAUGCCGCGUGUGCGAAGAAGGCCUUCGGGUUGUAAAGCACUUUUGUCAGGGAAGAAAUCCUUUGGGCUAAUACCCUAGGGGGAUGACGGUACCUGAAGAAUAAGCACCGGCUAACUACGUGCCAGCAGCCGCGGUAAUACGUAGGGUGCAAGCGUUAAUCGGAAUUACUGGGCGUAAAGCGUGCGCAGGCGGUUGUGUAAGACAGGUGUGAAAUCCCCGGGCUUAACCUGGGAAUUGCAUUUGUGACUGCACGACUAGAGUGUGUCAGAGGGGGGUGGAAUUCCACGUGUAGCAUGAAAUGCGUAAUAUGUGGAGGAACCCAAUGGCGAAGGCAGCCCCCUGGGAUAACACUGACGCUCAUGCACGAAAGCGUGGGGAGCCAACAGGAUUAGAUACCCUGGUAGUCCACGCCCUUAACGAUGUCCACUAGUUGUUGGGGAUUACUUCCUUGGUACGUAGCUACGCGUGAAUUGACCCCUGGGGAGU